GACGAACGCUGGCGGCGCGCCUAACACAUGCAAGUCGAACGGAGCAAAGAGGAGCUUGCUUUUCUUUGCUUAGUGGCGAACGGGUGAGUAACGCGUGAGUAACCUGCCCUGGAGUGGGGGACAACAGUUGGAAACGACUGCUAAUACCGCAUAAGCCCACGGAGCCGCAUGGCUCUGAGGGAAAAGGAGAAAUUUGCUUCAGGAUGGACUCGCGUCCAAUUAGCUGGUUGGCGGGGCAAUGGCCCACCAAGGCUACGAUCAGUAGGGGUUCUGAGAGGAAGGUCCCCCACAUUGGUACUGAGACACGGACCAGACUCCUACGGGAGGCAGCAGUGAGGAAUAUUGGGUCAAAUGGGGCGCAGGCCUGAACCAGCCAAGUCGCGUGAGGGAAGACGGUCCUACGGAUUGUAAACCUCUUUUGUCGGGGAGUAACGUGCGGGACGCGUCCCGUAUUGAGAGUACCCGAAGAAAAAGCAAUCGGCUAACUCCGUGCCAGCAGCCGC
RNAcentral lists this ribosomal RNA (503 nucleotides) under uncultured bacterium. RNAcentral's name for it is "bacterial SSU rRNA". It matches the Rfam family "Bacterial small subunit ribosomal RNA", at positions 28 to 518 of the family's 1533-position model. The record is from RNAcentral.